UACGUAGGGUGCAAGCGUUGUCCGGAAUUAUUGGGCGUAAAGAGCUCGUAGGCGGCUUGUUGCGUCGACUGUGAAAACCCGCGGCUUAACCGCGGGCUUGCAGUUGAUACGGGCAGGCUAGAGUUCGGUAGGGGAGACUGGAAUUCCUGGUGUAGCGGUGAAAUGCGCAGAUAUCAGGAGGAACACCGGUGGCGAAGGCGGGUCUCUGGGCCGAUACUGACGCUGAGGAGCGGAAGCGUGGGGAGCGAACAGG
RNAcentral lists this ribosomal RNA (253 nucleotides) under uncultured bacterium. RNAcentral describes it as "partial 16S ribosomal RNA". It matches the Rfam family "Bacterial small subunit ribosomal RNA", at positions 524 to 776 of the family's 1533-position model. The record is from RNAcentral.